Molecule: ribosomal RNA, 860 nt
Filed under: Andes sp. PCC-2008
Lineage: Eukaryota; Metazoa; Arthropoda; Insecta; Hemiptera; Cixiidae
Description: eukaryotic LSU rRNA
Rfam family: Eukaryotic large subunit ribosomal RNA
Source: RNAcentral
AACUCACCUGCCGAAGCAACUAGCCCUGAAAAUGGAUGGCGCUCUAGCGUCGUGCCUAUACCGGGCCGUCAACGGCACAGUGGGCGUCUGCCUUCGGGCAAGAGCCGUUACGCCUUGACGAGUAGGAGGGUCGCGGCGGUGUGCGCAGAAGGGUCUGGGCGUGAGCCCGCCUGGAGCCGCCGUCGGCGCAGAUCUUGGUGGUAGUAGCAAAUACUCUAGCGAGGGCCUGGAGGACUGACGUGGAGAAGGGUUUCUUGUGAACAGCCGUUGCACAAGAGUCAGUCGACCCUAAGCACUAGGAGAAAUCCGAUGUUGAUGGGUGGCUAUACAAAACCACAUUCUGUUUGUUGCGAACGCUCCUCAACGCCCCUCCGCCGUCAGCGCGUAAACCUCUCGCCUGUCCCGCGGCCACGAGGCCAGGGCUAAAGAGAGGCCGCCUGGCGUACCUAGCGGGCCGCGAUGAGUAGAUGGAUGCAGCGUAACAACUGCUCCUGUCGUGCAAAAGGGAAUCCGGUUCCUAUUCCGGAACCCGGCUGCGUAACCGCCACUCUGCGGGCACUCGCCUGCGAGCGCUCGUCGGGGUAACCCAAACUGGCCCGGAGACGCCGGCGGGGGGUCUGGAAAGAGUUUUCUUUUCUUUAUAAGCGUUCGAGUACCCUGGAAUCCUAUAGCAGGGAGAUAGGGUUUGGAACGCGAAGAGCACCGCAGUUGCGGCGGUGUCCGGACUUCCCCCCCGGACCUUGAAAAUCCGGGUGAGGGCUACGCGGAAGUCGCGCCGGAUCGUACCCAUAUCCGCAGCAGGUCUCCAAGGUUAAGAGCCUCUAGUCGAUAGAAUAAUGUANGUAAGGGAAGUCGGCAAA